This 497-nucleotide ribosomal RNA is filed under the name uncultured bacterium. RNAcentral describes it as "partial 16S ribosomal RNA". It matches the Rfam family "Bacterial small subunit ribosomal RNA", at positions 28 to 507 of the family's 1533-position model. The record is from RNAcentral.
GAUGAACGCUGGCGGCGUGCCUAAUACAUGCAAGUCGAGCGAACAGACGAGGAGCUUGCUCCUCUGACGUUAGCGGCGGACGGGUGAGUCACACGUGGAUAACCUACCUAUAAGACUUAGGUCACUUCGGGAAACCGGAGCUAAUACCGGAUAAUAUAUUUAACCGCAUGGUUCAAUAGUUUAAGCGGGUUUUGCUGUGCCUUCUAGCUGGAUGCGCGCCGGAUUAGUUAGUUGGUAAGGUAACGGCUUACGAAGGCCACGAUGCGUGGCCGACCUGAGAGGGUGAUCGGCCACACUGGAACUGGGCGACGGUCCAGACUCCUACGGGAGGCAGCAGUAGGGAAUCUUCCGCGAUGGGCGAAAGCCUGACGGAGCAGCGCCGCGUGAGUGAUGAAGGUCUUCGGAUCGUAAAACUCUGUUAUUAGGGAAGAACACAUGUGUAAGUAACGAUGCACGUCUUGACGGUACCUAAUUAGAAAGCCACGGCUAACUACGUG